GAUUUUCUAACGUUGAGUUAAAUCCAACUCAAAAUUCUAAGAUUCUAAAACCAUAGAAGCAAUAAAUUGAGUUUAUCAGGAUAAUUUUACUAUUUUUGAACACAUCAAUUUCAUAUGUAUAUGUAAUCUGUUCACAAUCUUAAAUACUGCCCUGAUUGAAACAUGUGAUGAUAAUGACUUAUUAUAGAGAACAUUAUAUAAAAACAAAGACAUUUGCACACGUCUAUAAAAACGAAAGUGAUGCAUUGAUAACUUGCUAGUUAAGAAACCAACCCAACUGGCUAAAAUUCAAUUUACUUAAUUGAUAAAAGGAUAGUUAUAUGCAACUAACCAAAUAUGACACCGAAAAUUAAAUAUAUCUCAACAACUUUGUACUAAAAACUAAAUACAACCAUCUAAUUUUCAAUGUAGACUAUACUAGUAGUGGGGUCAUGAGUAUAACUCUCAAAUGAGAAGUAAACAAGAAAGUAUUUACUCAAUUCACUAUAGGACAACCAUAUUUUAAAAUUCACUAGAAUAUAGGACCCAUGUCGUGCUCGAGUGCGAGAAAACCAGCUGAUAUGAAGGGUUUCUUGGCUUGUAAGGUGAAGAGUGU
This 595-nucleotide long non-coding RNA is filed under the name Trifolium pratense (red clover). Its description in RNAcentral is "long non-coding RNA (TPRA_LNC010379)". The record is from RNAcentral. Lineage: Eukaryota; Viridiplantae; Streptophyta; Magnoliopsida; Fabales; Fabaceae.